Molecule: long non-coding RNA, 688 nt
Organism: Esox lucius (northern pike)
Lineage: Eukaryota; Metazoa; Chordata; Actinopteri; Esociformes; Esocidae
Source: Ensembl
CUGCUCCUUGUCAGCCCCACCCUGUAUGUCAGCUCUUGUGUUCAGUCUGUGUGGAAGCAUUGUUUGCAUGUACUGGUCACUAUGUCAAUCGGCCAAACCAAUGUUAUAUGGUUUGUUCGGUCCUGCUCUGUGUCUCACCGCAUUUCCUUUACACAGCCCUAGACUGGGUGGGAGGGCUGUGGUCUAAGGAAGAGACUCCCUUGUUCAUCGGAGGCGUUCCUCAGACUAUUUCAACGGAAGUUUGGUAACAAAGCACCCGACAAUUCAGGGUCUCCCAAGUCUUCUCCCCCCUGAACUCCCAAUGGACCUUCGUCCAUUAGGCUCUUCACCUUCCUUGGCAGGUACCCAGAACCUGAGCCGAUGAAACCCACCGUCCACGAUCCUGAGCCAAUGAAGCCUGGCGUCCACGACCCUUGGCCAGGGAGACAAGGCUUCCCGGAACCCGAGCCGAUCCCGUCCAGCGUCCCGGAACCCGAGCCGGACCCAUCCGGCGUUAUGGAAACCCGAGCAGUUCCGUCUGGCGUCCCGGAACCCAUGUCAGACCCAUCCAGCAAAUACGGUCUUGUUGAGGUCAGGUCGCCAGAGCCCCCUACCACGUACAGGAACACAAAGCCUUCUACGCCUCCGCCGAUGUCUGCACGGUCAGCGUUCCCUCCUAGGACCCUGUAAACUCCACCCAGUCUCCGCC